RNAcentral lists this ribosomal RNA (1350 nucleotides) under metagenome. RNAcentral's name for it is "bacterial LSU rRNA". It matches the Rfam family "Bacterial large subunit ribosomal RNA", at positions 1588 to 2925 of the family's 2925-position model. The record is from RNAcentral.
AAAGUGAUUGAGCCAUGCCGCCUAGAAAAGCUUCUAAGCGUUGAUAUUUGAGUGACCGUACCGCAAACCGACACUGGUAGGUGGGUAGAAUAUACCAAGGGGAGCGAGAGAACCUUCGUUAAGGAAUUAGGCAAAUUUCCCCCGUACGUUCGCAAUAAGGGGGGCCUCUGGUGGUGAGCUUAAUCGCAAAGCUGCUGGAGGCCGCAGAGAAAUGGCUCUUCCAACUGUUUAACAAAAACACAGGUCUCUGCUAAGUCGAAAGACGAAGUAUAGGGGCUGACGCCUGCCCAGUGCUGGAAGGUUAAGGGGAGAGGUUAGGCGCAAGCCAAAGCCUUGAGCCGGAGCCCCAGUGAACGGCGGCCGUAACGAUAACGGUCCUAAGGUAGCGAAAUUCCUUGUCGGGUAAGUUCCGACCCGCACGAAUGGCGUAAUGAGAGGAGCACUGUCUCAACGAGGGACUCGGCGAACAUUGAAGGACGUGUGAAGAUACACGUGACCCGCAGCGGGACAAAAAGACCCCGUGAAGCUUUACUACAACUUGCCAUUGAGUUAGGGCUAAACCUGUGUAGCAUAGGUGGGAGGCUUUGAAGCUGGGACGCCGGUCUCGGUGGAGCCACCGUUGAAAUACCACCCUGGUUUAUUCUUGGCUCUAACCUGUCGCCGUUAUCCGGCAUGGGAACAGUGGCUGGUGGGUAGUUUGACUGGGGCGGUCGCCUCCGAAAGCGUAACAGAGGCGCCCAAAGGUUCCCUCAGGCUGAAUGGAAACCAGCCGUUGAGUGUAAAGGCACAAGGGAGCUUGACUGCAAGACCAACAAGUCGCGCAGGGACGAAAGUCGGGCUUAGUGAUCCCACGGUUCAGAGUGGAAUGGCCGUGGCUUACCGGAUAAAAGCUACUCCGGGGAUAACAGGGUAGUCUGGUCCAAGAGUUCAUAUCGACGACCAGGUUCGCCACCUCGAUGUCGGCUCAUCACAUCCUGGGGCUGGAUAGGGUCCCAAGGGUUGGGCUGUUCGCCCAUUAAAGUGGUACGUGAGCUGGGUUCAGACCGUCGUGAGACAGGUCGGUCUCUAUCCGCUGUGGGCGUAAGGGAUUUGAGAGAAGCUGCCCCUAGUACGAGAGGACCGGGGUGGACGGACCUCUAGUGUGCCAGUUGUUCUGCCAAGAGCAUUGCUGGGUAGCUACGUCCGGCAGAGAUAACCGCUGAAAGCAUCUAAGUGGGAAACUCGUCUCAAGAUUAGAUCCCUCAUCCGUAUGGAGUAAGACCGCUAGAAGACGACUAGUUUGAUAGGCGGCAGGUGUAAGCGCAGUAAUGUGUUCAGCUUAGCCGUACUAAUGGUCGAGGGCUUACGUUG